UUUAUAAUAUAAGUGUUCUAAUAAAUUAUUUUAUAUAAAAAUAUUUGGAAUUAAAUAAAAAAAAUUUUUACAAAACAGGGAUAGACGCCUGUUAUGAUAUCAAAAAUUAGGGUAGUGUAAUAAACCGAAAAUAGAUGGCAGUAAAAUAUUCGUAUUAAGGAAUUUUAAAAAAUAAAUUGAUAGUCCUCAAUUUUAUUUACUUUAAAAAAUUUUUUGUGUGGCUGUUUAAUAACAAUUUAAAAAUUUUAGUUUAAAUCAGGUUGUAUAUUAUUAAUAUUUAAAGGUAUUUUUGAAAUGUAUUUAAAUUUUUAAUUUUAUUUUAAAAAAUAUAAUACUUAAUAGUAAUAAAUAAGUAAAUAAAUUCGUUCUAUUUUAAGUUCAUAUC
Molecule: ribosomal RNA, 385 nt
Filed under: Triconia minuta
Lineage: Eukaryota; Metazoa; Arthropoda; Copepoda; Poecilostomatoida; Oncaeidae
Description: partial 12S ribosomal RNA
Source: RNAcentral